Molecule: ribosomal RNA, 463 nt
Filed under: Vreelandella stevensii
Lineage: Bacteria; Pseudomonadati; Pseudomonadota; Gammaproteobacteria; Oceanospirillales; Halomonadaceae
Description: partial 16S ribosomal RNA
Rfam family: Bacterial small subunit ribosomal RNA
Source: RNAcentral
CCUACGGUGGCUGCAGUGGGGAAUAUUGGACAAUGGGCGAAAGCCUGAUCCAGCCAUGCCGCGUGUGUGAAGAAGGCCUUCGGGUUGUAAAGCACUUUCAGUGGGGAAGAAAGCCUUGGGGCUAAUACCCUCGAGGAAGGACAUCACCCACAGAAGAAGCACCGGCUAACUCCGUGCCAGCAGCCGCGGUAAUACGGAGGGUGCGAGCGUUAAUCGGAAUUACUGGGCGUAAAGCGCGCGUAGGCGGUCUGAUAAGCCGGUUGUGAAAGCCCCGGGCUCAACCUGGGAACGGCAUCCGGAACUGUCAGGCUAGAGUGCAGGAGAGGAAGGUAGAAUUCCCGGUGUAGCGGUGAAAUGCGUAGAGAUCGGGAGGAAUACCAGUGGCGAAGGCGGCCUUCUGGACUGACACUGACGCUGAGGUGCGAAAGCGUGGGUAGCAAACAGGAUUAGAUACCCAGUAGUC